This 398-nucleotide ribosomal RNA is filed under the name uncultured bacterium. RNAcentral's name for it is "partial 16S ribosomal RNA". It matches the Rfam family "Bacterial small subunit ribosomal RNA", at positions 523 to 918 of the family's 1533-position model. The record is from RNAcentral.
AUACGUUGGGUGCGAGCGUUGUCCGGAAUUACUGGGCGUAAAGAGCUCGUAGGUGGUUUGUCGCGUCGUCUGUGAAAUUCCGGGGCUUAACUCCGGGCGUGCAGGCGAUACGGGCAUAACUUGAGUACUGUAGGGGAGACUGGAAUUCCUGGUGUAGCGGUGAAAUGCGCAGAUAUCAGGAGGAACACCGGUGGCGAAGGCGGGUCGCUGGGCAGUAACUGACGCUGAGGAGCGAAAGCAUGGGUAGCGAACAGGAUUAGAUACCCUGGUAGUCCAUGCCGUAAACGGUGGGCGCUAGGUGUAGGGGUCUUCCACGACUUCUGUGCCGUAGCUAACGCAUUAAGCGCCCCGCCUGGGGAGUACGGCCGCAAGGCUAAAACUCAAAUGAAUUGACGGGG